RNAcentral lists this non-coding RNA (85 nucleotides) under Arsenophonus endosymbiont of Trialeurodes vaporariorum. Lineage: Bacteria; Pseudomonadati; Pseudomonadota; Gammaproteobacteria; Enterobacterales; Morganellaceae. The record is from RNAcentral.
UGCAAUGGUGGGCUGGAUGGGGCAACCAAAAGGUUGACCGUCUGAUAAUCACGGUAUUCUCACCCCUGUUCAGUCCACCACCCAA